Molecule: long non-coding RNA, 1649 nt
Organism: Diceros bicornis minor
Lineage: Eukaryota; Metazoa; Chordata; Mammalia; Perissodactyla; Rhinocerotidae
Exons: 2
Source: RefSeq, a predicted model, not a curated record
CUGUGUGGUCAGGCCCCAGGGCAGGGGCCUCCCAGCCCAGCUUUGGGGACAAAUUUCCCAUCCUUAUUGUCCACUCCUCUCCUCAACUUCAAAAUGUGCUUCCUCCUCAAGCAAAUUGACUUUAAUUACAGGCGUGCCGACCACUGAAAGAUGCGCCAACUUGGGUGAAUCUCCAAAAUCUAGCGCCAAGUGAAAGACAGUGGACACAAAAGAAUACAUCCUGCAUGGGUCCAGGGCUGCUAUGACAGAGUACCACGAACUAGGCAGCUUAAAACAACAUACAUUUAUUCUCUUACAGUUCUAGAAGCCAGAAGUCUGAGAUCAGAGCCGUGCCCCCUCUGAAGGCUCUCGGGAAGAAUCCUUCCCAGUCUCUUCCAGCUCCUGGUGGUGGCCGGAAUCCUUGGUGCCCCUUGGCUCGUGGCUGCAUCACUCCCAUCUUUGCCUCCGUCUUCGCAUAGUCUUCUUCCCCCAGGUGUGUCUGUGUCCAAAUCUCCUUCUCUUUUCUCUUAUAAAACACCAGUCAUUGGAUUUAGGGCCCAGCCUAAUCCAGUAUAAUCUCAUCUUAACUUGGUUGCAUCUGUAAGACCCUAUUUCACAUUCACAGGUACCAAGAGUUAGGACUUGACUAUAUUUUUUUGAGGACACAGUUCAACCCACUUGGUGUUCCAUAUCAUGGAAAGAGUUUGGAUAACACAGGGAGAUGCAUUUGCCAAAAAUAAAGUACACCUAAGAUGUGUGCAUUUCACUGGAUGUAAGUUCUACGGACAGAGAAACAAAUAUUGAGCCCUAGCUAAGAUAUGCAUGCGGAAGUGCUUAGGGAUGAGCUGUACUGGUGUCUGCAACCUACUCUGCAUUUAGCUGCCCUUUCUCUCUGGUCUCCUGUAAUUGGGAACAGUUCCUCAGUCUCUCCUCAUUCACGACCUCGACACUUUUGAAGAGGCCAGGCCAGUCAUUUUAUAGAACGUCCCUCCUUCGACUCUGUCUGAGGUUUCCUCAUGGCUGGACUCAGGCCAUGCACCUUCGUCAGGAACCACCCAGGUGGUGUUAUGUCCUCCUCGGUGCCCCCAUCGGGAGACGCCUGAGAGCCAUUUGUCCCGUUACUGGUGAUAUUAAUUGGUCACUUGGUCAAGGCGACCCCUGCCAGGUUUCACCACUGUCGAGUUACUGUUUUUCCCUCUGUAACGAAUAAGUAUCUUAUGGGGAGAUUAACUAUUUAAAUAUCCUGUUACUCCUCACCGUUCACCCACUAACUUUAACAUCCAUUAAUAUGCUUGCUUCAAUCAAUCUAUCUAUGGCUAUGUAAUAAAUGACCCCAAAACUUAGCAGCUUAAGAUAAUAAUCAUUCAUUUUCUCACCGUUUUUGUGGCUCAAGAAUUCAGGAGUGGUUUGGCUGGAAGGUUCUGGCUUAGAGUCUCUGAAGUUGCAGUCAAGAUGUCAGCUGGGGCGACAGUUAUCUGAAAGCUCGUCUGGGGCUGGGGCUUCACUGUCCAGGAGAAAUAAAAUGUGAGCCACAAUGGAACCACCUGCUUACUUUUAAAUUUCCUAGCAGCCAGUGAAAUUCAUUUUAGUAAUAUAUUUUACAUAACCCAAUAUAUCUAAACUCUUCUCAUUUCAACAUGUUCUCAAUAUUAAAAAGUAUUACCAAGAUA